RNAcentral lists this ribosomal RNA (625 nucleotides) under Pseudomonadaceae bacterium. Its description in RNAcentral is "bacterial SSU rRNA". It matches the Rfam family "Bacterial small subunit ribosomal RNA", at positions 94 to 733 of the family's 1533-position model. Lineage: Bacteria; Pseudomonadati; Pseudomonadota; Gammaproteobacteria; Pseudomonadales; Pseudomonadaceae. The record is from RNAcentral.
AGCGGCGGACGGGUGAGUAAUGUCUAGGAAUCUGCCUGAUAGUGGGGGAUAACGUCUGGAAACGAUCGCUAAUACCGCAUACGUCCUCCGGAAAGCAGGGGACCUUCGGGCCUUGCGCCAUCAGAUGAGCCUAGAUCGGAUUAGCUAGUAGGUGGGGUAAUGGCUCACCAAGGCGACGAUCCGUAGCUGGUCUGAGAGGAUGAUCAGUCACACUGGAACUGAGACACGGUCCAGACUCCUACGGGAGGCAGCAGUGGGGAAUAUUGCACAAUGGGCGCAAGCCUGAUCCAGCCAUGCCGCGUGUGUGAAGAAGGUCUUCGGUUGUAAAGCACUUUCAGGGAGGAAGGCCAGUAGCUUAAUACUGUUGACGUUACUGACAGAAUAAGCACCGGCUAACUCUGUGCCAGCAGCCGCGGUAAUACAGAGGGUGCAAGCGUUAAUCGGAAUUACUGGGCGUAAAGCGCGCGCAGGUGGUUUGUUAAGUCGAUGUGAAAUCCCCGGGCUCAACCUGGGAACUGCAUCCGAAACUGGCAAGCUAGAGUACGGUAGAGGGGGGUAGAAUUUCAGGUGUAGCGGUGAAAUGCGUAGUAGGAAGGAACACCAGUGGCGAAGGCGACCACCUGGA